Molecule: unclassified non-coding RNA, 391 nt
Filed under: soil metagenome
Description: partial contains 5.8S ribosomal RNA, internal transcribed spacer 2, and large subunit ribosomal RNA
Rfam family: 5.8S ribosomal RNA (bases 1-122)
Source: RNAcentral
GAUGAAGAACGUAGCGAAAUGCGAUACUUGGUGUGAAUUGCAGAAUCCCGUGAACCAUCGAGUCUUUGAACGCAAGUUGCGCCCGAAGCCAUUAGGCCGAGGGCACGCCUGCCUGGGCGUCACACGUCGUUGCCCCCCCAUCUACUCCUUCGGGAUUGCGGGGGGCGGAUGAUGGCCUCUCGUGCGCCUCGUCGCGCUGUUGGCCUAAAUGCCAAGUCCUCGGCGACGCACGCCACGACAAUCGGUGGUUGCGAAACCUCGGUUGCCUGUCGUGUGCGGUCGUCGCGCAUCGAGGGCUCGAAAAAAUUGCCGGGCUUCGGCUCGACUUUCAACGCGACCCCAGGUCAGGCGGGGUUACCCGCUGAAUUUAAGCAUAUCAAUAAGCGGAGGA